CCUACGGGGUGCAGCAGUGAGGAAUAUUGGUCAAUGGACGAGUGUCUGAACCAGCCAAGUAGCGUGAUGGAUGACUGCCCUAUGGGUUGUAAACUUCUUUUAUAUGGGAAUAAAAUGUUCCACGUGUGGGAUUUUGUAUGUACCAUAUGAAUAAGGAUCGGCUAACUCCGUGCCAGCAGCCGCGGUAAUACGGAGGAUCCGAUCGUUAUCCGGAUUUAUUGGGUUUAACGGUAGCGUAGGUUGAUUGUUAAGUCAGUUGUGAAAGUUUGCGGCUCACCCGUAAAAUUGCAGUUGAAACUGGCAGUCGUGAGUACAGUAGAGGUGGGCGGAAUUCGUGGUGUAGCGGUGAAAUGCUGAGAUAUCACGAAGAACUCCGAUUGCGAAGGCAGCUCACUGGACUGCAACUGACACUGAGGCUCGAAAGUGUGGGUAUCAAACAGGAUUAGAGACCCUUGUAGUC
Molecule: ribosomal RNA, 460 nt
Filed under: uncultured bacterium
Lineage: Bacteria
Description: partial 16S ribosomal RNA
Rfam family: Bacterial small subunit ribosomal RNA
Source: RNAcentral